CAGCAGCCGCGGUAAUACGUAGGGUGCAAGCGUUAAUCGGAAUUACUGGGCGUAAAGCGUGCGCAGGCGGUUAUAUAAGUCAGAUGUGAAAUCCCCGGGCUCAACCUGGGAACUGCAUUUGAGACUGUAUGGCUAGAGUGUGUCAGAGGGGGGUAGAAUUCCACGUGUAGCAGUGAAAUGCGUAGAUAUUGGGAAGAACACCGGUGGCGAAGGCGGCAACCUGGUCCAUGACUGACGCUGAGGCGCGAAAGCGUGGGGAGCAAACAGGAUUAGAUACCCCUGUAGUCCCUGUCUCUUAUAC
This 301-nucleotide ribosomal RNA is filed under the name uncultured bacterium. RNAcentral's name for it is "partial 16S ribosomal RNA". It matches the Rfam family "Bacterial small subunit ribosomal RNA", at positions 509 to 807 of the family's 1533-position model. The record is from RNAcentral.